This 383-nucleotide unclassified non-coding RNA is filed under the name Melitaea cinxia (Glanville fritillary). RNAcentral describes it as "misc RNA ENSMCXG00005020727.1". Lineage: Eukaryota; Metazoa; Arthropoda; Insecta; Lepidoptera; Nymphalidae. The record is from RNAcentral.
AGCGCCUUGCUCGCGUGUCUUUGUUUUUUUUUUCUUUGCACUUCGUUGCCGCCGAACCUCGAGACCUAACCUCGACCCUAACUCGGCUUAAAUCCCGCUGGGGAUUUAUUUUUAGAUUUAUAUCUUUAAUUAUACUUUGCUACAAAUCGAGUCACUGCCCUCGAUUAAUAACGGGCUGACUGAUUACCGGCAUUUACACCGGUGGAGAUCUCCGCCGGUCAUCGGACGAAGACGGAACUGAAGACCAUCAUCGCCGGGAAUUAGUCAGGCCAGUGUCCUUCCAUUUUACUUUCUAAGGUACGUUUGAAUUCAAAAGAACAACAUGUAGGUAAGAAACUAAAGCGAACACAUUCAAGACAGAUGGUCGAGUGGAUGACACACGU